This 347-nucleotide ribosomal RNA is filed under the name Robopus sp. CO1067. RNAcentral's name for it is "partial 12S ribosomal RNA". The record is from RNAcentral. Lineage: Eukaryota; Metazoa; Arthropoda; Insecta; Coleoptera; Lampyridae.
UAGAACUGUAAAUAAAUUUUCUUGAUUAGUAUUAGUUAUGUUCUUGAAAAUUAAAAGAUUUGGCGGUAUUUUAGUCAGUUCAGAGGAACCUGUUCUAUAAUUGAUAGUCCACGAUAAGAAUAACUUAUUUUUUUAGCUUGUAUAUCGUUGUUUAUGAAUUUCUUUUUUGGGAUAAUUUUCAAUUGUUUAAAUAUAAAUAAAUUUCAGAUCAAGGUGCAGCUUAUGAAUAAGUAGAAAUGGGUUACAAUAAAAAUAUAUUUGGUUAUUUAAUUAUAAUUUUAAAUAUAAAUUGGAUUUGAUUGUAAUUAUGAAUAAUUUUUUAUAAUGAUCAAUGUUCUGAAAUAUGU